AUACUUACCUGGUACGGAGAGAACCGUGAUCACCCAGGCGGUUUCUCC
This 48-nucleotide small nuclear RNA is filed under the name Ensis minor (minor jackknife clam). Its description in RNAcentral is "partial u1 snRNA". The record is from RNAcentral. Lineage: Eukaryota; Metazoa; Mollusca; Bivalvia; Adapedonta; Pharidae.